This 149-nucleotide ribosomal RNA is filed under the name Vibrio parahaemolyticus. Its description in RNAcentral is "partial 16S ribosomal RNA". It matches the Rfam family "Bacterial small subunit ribosomal RNA", at positions 1 to 130 of the family's 1533-position model. The record is from RNAcentral. Lineage: Bacteria; Pseudomonadati; Pseudomonadota; Gammaproteobacteria; Vibrionales; Vibrionaceae.
UUAAAUUGAAGAGUUUGAUCAUGGCUCAGAUUGAACGCUGGCGGCAGGCCUAACACAUGCAAGUCGAGCGGAAACGAGUUAUCUGAACCUUCGGGGGACGAUAACGGCGUCGAGCGGCGGACGGGGGAGGAACGCCUAGGAAAUUGCCC